This 370-nucleotide ribosomal RNA is filed under the name uncultured Glomeromycotina. Its description in RNAcentral is "LSU rRNA". Lineage: Eukaryota; Fungi; Glomeromycota. The record is from RNAcentral.
UUGAAAGGGAAACGAUUGAAGUCAGUCGUACCGGUGGGUAAUCAGCCUUUCGGCGUGAUUAUGUGGAGCGUGAGGAGUUAAACGCCCUCAUGCCUGCAUAUUCGUGUUCUUUGGGUGUACUUACCCGCAUGGUAGGUUAACAUCAAUUUCGAACGUCAUAAAAUGGUUGGAGGAAUGUAGCUUCGAUCUCGUAUUGAAGUGUUAUACCUUCGGCAGAUGUGAUGAUCGGGAUUGAGGAUUGCAACGGAUACCCCUCGGGCUGCCCGUCUGAUCUCUGAAAGUUACUCUGGUGCCGAAAGCUCGCUUACGGUCAUCAAAGUUGACGUUCAACAGGUUAGAACGGGAUAAAUUCGUUAAGGAUGUUGACGUA